Molecule: ribosomal RNA, 777 nt
Filed under: uncultured marine bacterium
Lineage: Bacteria
Description: bacterial SSU rRNA
Rfam family: Bacterial small subunit ribosomal RNA
Source: RNAcentral
GAAUAGCCUCUGGAAACGGAGAGUAAUACCGUAUACGCCCUUUGGGGGAAAGAUUUAUCGGAGAAGGAUCGGUCCGCGUUAGAUUAGGUAGUUGGUGGGGUAACGGCCUACCAAGCCUACGAUCUAUAGCUGGUUUUAGAGGAUGAUCAGCAACACUGGGACUGAGGCACGGCCCAGACUCCUACGGGAGGCAGCAGUGGGGAAUCUUAGACAAUGGGGGCAACCCUGAUCUAGCCAUGCCGCGUGAGUGAUGAAGGCCUUAGGGUCGUAAAGCUCUUUCGCCUGUGAUGAUAAUGACAGUAGCAGGUAAAGAAACCCCGGCUAACUCCGUGCCAGCAGCCGCGGUAAUACGGAGGGGGUUAGCGUUGUUCGGAAUUACUGGGCGUAAAGCGCGCGUAGGCGGAUUAGAAAGUUGGGGGUGAAAUCCCGGGGCUCAACCCCGGAACUGCCUCCAAAACUGCUAGUCUAGAGUUCGAGAGAGGUGAGUGGAAUUCCGAGUGUAGAGGUGAAAUUCGUAGAUAUUCGGAGGAACACCAGUGGCGAAGGCGGCUCACUGGCUCGAUACUGACGCUGAGGUGCGAAAGUGUGGGGAGCAAACAGGAUUAGAUACCCUGGUAGUCCACACCGUAAACGAUGAAUGCCAGUCGUCGGAUAGUAUGCUAUUCGGUGACACACCUAACGGAUUAAGCAUUCCGCCUGGGGAGUACGGUCGCAAGAUUAAAACUCAAAGGAAUUGACGGGGGCCCGCACAAGCGGUGGAGCAUGUGGUUUAAUUCG